GACGAACGCUGGCGGCGUGCCUAAUACAUGCAAGUUGAGCGCUGAAGGUUGGUACUUGUACCAACUGGAUGAGCAGCGAACGGGUGAGUAACGCGUGGGGAAUCUGCCUUUUAGCGGGGGACAACAUUUGGAAACGAAUGCUAAUACCGCAUAAAAACUUUAAACACAAGUUUUAAGUUUGAAAGAUGCAAUUGCAUCACUCAAAGAUGAUCCCGCGUUGUAUUAGCUAGUUGGUGAGGUAAAGGCUCACCAAGGCGAUGAUACAUAGCCGACCUGAGAGGGUGAUCGGCCAAAUUGGGACUGAGACACGGCCCAAACUCCUACGGGAGGCAGCAGUAGGGAAUCUUCGGCAAUGGACGAAAGUCUGACCGAGCAACGCCGCGUGAGUGAAGAAGGUUUUCGGAUCGUAAAACUCUGUUGGUAGAGAAGAACGUUGGUGAGAGUGGAAAGCUCAUCAAGUGACGGUAACUACCCAGAAAGGGACGGCUAACUACGUG
Molecule: ribosomal RNA, 497 nt
Filed under: uncultured bacterium
Lineage: Bacteria
Description: partial 16S ribosomal RNA
Rfam family: Bacterial small subunit ribosomal RNA
Source: RNAcentral